Melospiza melodia melodia is the source of this 121-nucleotide long non-coding RNA. RefSeq lists it as uncharacterized. NCBI's taxonomy places the organism in Eukaryota, Metazoa, Chordata, Aves, Passeriformes, Passerellidae. The record is from RefSeq and is a predicted model, not a curated record. The transcript is spliced from 3 exons.
CAAGACGGAACACAUUCAGGAGAGAAGGCAAUUUGUGAGAGAAAGACUCAUGAGCUGGAGCACAAAAGUUGCAUUAAAUUAUUUAAAUGUAAGUUAUUUGCACUACCUCCCUUGCUGCCCU